GACGAACGCUGGCGGCGUGCUUAACACAUGCAAGUCGAACGGUAAGGCCCUUCGGGGUACACGAGUGGCGAACGGGUGAGUAACACGUGGGUGAUCUGCCCUGCACUUCGGGAUAAGCCUGGGAAACUGGGUCUAAUACCGGUUAGGACCCUGGGAUGCAUGUCCUGGGGUGAAAAGCUUUUGCGGUGUGGGAUGGGCCCGCGGCCUAUCAGCUUGUUGGUGGGGUGAUGGCCUACCAAGGCGACAACGGGUAGCCGGCCUGAGAGGGUGACCGGGCAAACGGGGACUGAGAUACGGCCCAGACUCCUACGGGAGGCAGCAGUGGGGAAUAUUGCACAAUGGGCGCAAGCCUGAUGCAGCGACGCCGCGUGAGGGAUGACGGCCUUCGGGUUGUAAACCUCUUUCAGCACCGACGAAGCGCAAGUGACGGUAGGUGCAGAAGAAGGACCGGCCAACUACGUGCCAGCCGCCGCGGUAA
RNAcentral lists this ribosomal RNA (478 nucleotides) under uncultured bacterium. RNAcentral describes it as "partial 16S ribosomal RNA". It matches the Rfam family "Bacterial small subunit ribosomal RNA", at positions 28 to 523 of the family's 1533-position model. The record is from RNAcentral.